Molecule: long non-coding RNA, 747 nt
Organism: Drosophila miranda
Lineage: Eukaryota; Metazoa; Arthropoda; Insecta; Diptera; Drosophilidae
Exons: 2
Source: RefSeq, a predicted model, not a curated record
GAUUUGUGGCAGCAGCCGUGGAAAAUAGACUCGUGGCAGGCAGGGGCCGAACAGAGCAUUUUCCAAGGAGCCUGCAGCUUGGCUGAAGUGUUUGCAGAGGCUAAUUGGAUGCGGACAAUGGAUUACUAGUUGGUUUAUUGUCGUCGAUGGGGAAGAUCCUUAAUUGGUUAGAGGCCCCGGCGCGGAUCCCUGAAGAUUUCAAAUUAAAUCAAUAGCAGUUUUUGAUAACCUCUCGUUAUAGGAUAAGUCUACAUAUCUCCUUGUCCAGGCGGUCCAAUUUUGGAAAAUUAAGUAGCAUCGCAUCUACUUCUGAGAAAGUGAAAGCCAGUCAGAAAAACGGAAAGCUCCUCGGCUAUUUUCAUAAUCAUAAUUCCUAAUACAUAUACAUAUGCACAUGCAUGCUUCAAGGAAAACACCAUCCUUCUGAAGUACUGAAGUCUGAAUAAACGUCGUUUUGCAGAUCAACUUGGUACACCUAUUGUCUCUUUCCUAGAGUCCUACCUCUUCCUCCAAUGGCAUAAAAAACACCGCCAAUUAUAUAGUUUCUUAUAGAACCUUUCGCUUUGCGGGGUGCUCUUGUCAUAGUGGAGUACUGGUAGAAGAAUAACUUCCGAUCCCGUGCAUACAUCUGUAACGAUUCCGUUGGGUCAUCAAAAAGUGAAGAUCUGUGUAGUUUCUUUUGGGCUGCAAUAACAUCGCUUUAAUUCACACGCUGUUGCUGAGCGUUGGCAUUAUUUUGUAUCUGUA